This is a long non-coding RNA of Pantherophis guttatus, 3033 nucleotides long. RefSeq lists it as uncharacterized. The record is from RefSeq and is a predicted model, not a curated record. Lineage: Eukaryota; Metazoa; Chordata; Lepidosauria; Squamata; Colubridae.
GGUGUUUUUGAUCUUAUUGUGAUGAGUUGGUGGACAAUGCUUACUUAUUUGUAUAUUUCCUAGUUUCAGAAUGCUCAAGAGAAAGGAAGAAUCCCCUGAUGUCUUCCUUCCAGAGCUAACAAAUGUGUAGGAAGCCAAGGCAGAGAUGUUACAAAAACAUAUUCUGAAGAAGAGACAACCGGAGACUUGGAUGUACCUCAGUGCACCAUGCUGCCCUGUGCAUUUUUAUUUGAGAUUAAAUCCCAUUGAAUAUAGAGGACAGAUAAGUAUGGUGCAUCUGGUAAAAGAAACGGCUGUAAUCAUUGCAGAAAUGUCAUUUCUGAAAAUAUGCCACACUUUUUAAACUGCUUUUUUCAAGAAGAAUAAUGUUGACAGUAACUCCUUAUUCGGAGCCAUCUUGACUGGUUUGGGAGUGUCUGUUGGAGGGAGCUCAGUGUUGCAUCAUGUGUCUCUUGCACAGGAUGUCAAAAGGAGUUUCCUGCACCCCUGGAGAAUAUAGAAAUGAAGGUAGUUGCUGUUAUAUUAAAAAAAAAAAAAGCAUCAUAGAAGCGAUGCACCAGCUGUGCCUUCUGUUCGCCCUUAGAGGGCACACUGCAGCCUUAUUGGUUUCAAGGAAAGAAACCACUGGUGUAAAUUGAAAGAAUUGUAUAGUGAUGCCUAGAAUACAGUCACUCAAAUAUUUAUAAGCACCUUUUUUUUAAAAAAAAAUGUGGAUGUGUGUGAAAUGCUGACUUAGGUUGUUGAAAAUCUGACCAUAGUGAGCUAAAUCAUGCUAUCUGUGCAUUUCAAAAUAGUAGAGGAGGGAAGUGAGAGCUUUAAAACUUAUUUGCAGCUCAGGGUCUACGCGAGGUAUUUGCAAUUAAUAGAUUUAAGAGUACAUAUCAUUUUAGAAAUGAAAUACCAUUGUGCAGCAAAAAAGCCUUAUGUUACAAAUAUAAGAAGUAUAUUACAGUCUCUAUAGAAUGAGACUGAUAACUAGUUUGGCUGCCCAAGAGAAUAAUGGAACCUACCUAAAAUUUCAGAGCCAAGACUAAGGAUAUAAGCUGUGUUUAGUAUCUUCUCCUUAGAUUUAAUGUUUCAAAUUCAUUUCUAAAGCAGAUCUCUGACUAGGCAGUUUUUCAAUUAAGCCAAGUAAUCAAAUCAAUCCCUCCUUGGCAUCUUUUCAGAGUCUGUUCAUAACUAGCUACGUGCCCAGUGAUGGUUUUGAUAUACAUGAAAUAUGCUUUCUGCCCCCACUACAUUCUUGAUCAUUAUGCUGCACGAAUCUUAUGCCCUAUUUUGGAGAUACUUUAUGUCUGUGAGUGCUCAAUGGGCGACUAUGGGUUGUCUUUUUUCACGCUUACAAGUUUAGCACCAUGAUAGCUCAGGAACAAAUGCUCCUUUGUGAAGGUUAACCAAGUAAUAGUGUAGUGGAGAAAAAUCACAAAAUUGAAGAUACAUCUUUUCUCUAUUUUCCCAUCUUUUAAACCUGGCCAGGAUCAAACCCAGAUGGUCCCUUUGUUUAGCAGACUCCCCCUCCCCCACAAGUCUACCUAGAUCAAAGACUAGAAGCUUUACCAGCUCCCAGUACAGCUCAAAGGCAGCUUUCAGAAGAGAAGAAACUAGCAGAAGGUGGAAUGAAGGACAGGAACUCACCCUAUCCCACAGCAGUACUCAGCUCUCAAACACGGGACCUCCAACCCAGAGUCCUAAGCACAUGAGACACUGUGUUCCUUUAUUUGCUAAUAAUAUAAGGGUGCUAUAACAACAAAACCCAUGUUGGGAGAUGUGAAUAAUUAGCAAAAUAUCAAAGUAGCAAAAAUUUCACUUUAUCCUCAUUAAACUAUGGAUGAUGAUGCUGGCACUAGAAAAACCUUUCAGCUGCUAAGAUCUGAAGAUGUGGCCCAUCAAUAACUAGUUUUGGCCCACUUUGAACUAUCAAGAGCAAUGAAGCUAUAUUGAUCUUCUUAAGCAGUUAUGCCAAUUUUAAGCCUAAUAUUCUACUGAGUGAAUCUGCAGACUGUGGUGGUUUGCCUAUUAGACAUAAAUUUAUGCCACACCUUCCUCCAAUUCCAUCUCCCAGCUCUCCAGGUGACAAGUUUAUCCAUGGAUGGAAGACAAGAAAAAUGGAACAGAUAUCUGAGGUCCAAUGUCUUCAUCUUCUAAUGUUUCAGCUCUUCAAAGUAUUGAUUAAAACACACCCACUCCAUUUUAUUGAUACAUGUUUAUAGUAAUAAAUCACAGCUUCAUGAAUUUCAGUUUUCACCAGAGAUAGGCUAAAUUUGAGGAAGUGCCUGGGAGAAGCACCAAGAGCUGUUUAAUUUUUUUUAAAGUUCAGUUGCCAUUACUUAACUUCCAGAUAUCUAAAAAAAAAAAAAAAAAAAAGACACACAACCUUUUUGCAUAACUUCAAGAGGCUGAAUAAAAUUACGCCAUCUCCGAUUUCUUCAGGACCAUUCAGCUGAAAAAGUAUUUUAGACCAAACAUCUUUGCAGCUUCUGAGGCUGGGUUUUCACUGUAUUAUCAUGUGUCAGAAGAGAAAUUUGAAUGGCUGUGUUAUCUGUGUUUACAGUGCCAUAAGGAUAUGUUAUGCUAGAGAGGAAGUAAUAGUGUUAUUUAUUAUAGCAAUGUAAUUAGCAGUACUGUUAUUGCUAAACAUUGCUAUAACCUCUUGUCAGCAUCGUGUAACUCCACCAUAACUCACUGCGUAUUUUAUAUCCCAAAAGGAGUUAUUGACUGGGUUUACAUGAUGCUAUCAAACUGGUACUUCUGUGGAUUAAAUACAAACCUACUGUUUCAGUAGCCUUGCAUCUGUUGCUGAAUAUUUUCUUUCAUCUCUCUAUCAAGACAAAUUCUGACAUCAGAACAGAAGCAGUAUAUUAUGAUCCCCAGACAAUGAAUCUUCAUCAAAACAGAAUCUCCAACAAGUUGCUGUCAAGUUAACCAUGUCAUGAAAGACAUUUUCUGAUGACCCAUGUGUUGUUAUUGUUGAUGUUAUUGUAGUUGCACUUACAACUGCUCUUCACCAAUAAGCAAAUUAAACAUUUUACAUGU